This is a non-coding RNA of Picea glauca (white spruce), 54 nucleotides long. NCBI's taxonomy places the organism in Eukaryota, Viridiplantae, Streptophyta, Pinopsida, Pinales, Pinaceae. The record is from Rfam.
GGGAAAGGGGGGUCGGGCCGGGGCUUAGCCCCGGCCCGUGGACGUAUUGGAACG